Molecule: ribosomal RNA, 2043 nt
Filed under: Triticum aestivum (bread wheat)
Lineage: Eukaryota; Viridiplantae; Streptophyta; Magnoliopsida; Poales; Poaceae
Description: partial small subunit ribosomal RNA
Source: RNAcentral
AUGGCGGCUGUGGAAGGGGGGCAACUUGUGCAGUUGUGGAACGAAUGGGCGAUUCAGUUCCUGGUCCUCCUCAGCUUCACAUUUCAAGUUUUCCUCUUGUUGUUUGCCGGGAUCCGGCGGCGUGGAGGCUCCACUGUGAUGAGGCUCCUCCUCUGGCUGGUGUACCUCCUGGCCGACUCCACGGCAAUAUAUGCUCUUGGCCACCUAUCCGUGACCAGCAGCACGUCACGGGGGCACCAGCUCGUGGCCUUCUGGGCACCGUUCCUGCUGGUGCACCUUGGUGGCCCGGACAGCAUCACCGCCUACGCCCUUGAGGACAGCCGGCUCUGGCUCCGGCACUUGCUCACUCUUGUCGUGCAGGCCCUUGCAGCUGCUUAUGUCCUUUACAGGUAUAUUGCCGGUAGUGAGACCUUGCUCCUCCGAGCUGCCAUCAUGAUGUUCAUCGUCGGUGUCCUCAAGUAUGGCGAGAGGACAUGGGCCCUCAAGCAUGGUAGCAUGGGCAGACUCCAGAGCGAGUGUAGAAGGCUUGGUUUUGUUUCGGAAUUUGCUAUGCCGGAUGGUUUGGCAGAUCGAACAGAUAACGAGGAGGAGUUUUUGGUUGCCGCUUACAUGAUGUUCCCGAUAUGCAUCCACCUCUUUGGCGGUACUAUUAUCGGGCCGGAGGACUCAUGUAAGUGGCUGCACGCAUAUGGUCUCGGUGGGGAAGACUUGCACAAGUUGGUAGAGAUGGAGCUGUCCCUGAUGUAUGACACCCUGUACACCAAGGCAGCGGUAAUCCACACAUGGUAUGGCUGUUGCAUCCGUAUAAUUUCUCUUGCCUUAACCAUCGCUGCACUCAUGCUGUUCAAAUUCAGCAACAAGUUGGGUUACAGCAGAGCUGAUGUUGCCAUCACCUAUGUUUUGGUAAUUGGGGCAUUGAUCGUGGAGAUCAUAUCAGUGUCUGGGACAUUAGGGUCAUCAUGGAUGUGUAUGUUGUUGCGCGUCAUGUUUUUGACACCGCUCCUAGACUUACUCAAAUCUCUUCGCCGACGUGUGCAUGCAACAAGAAAGAGAAGGUGGUCGGGCUCCAUUGGGCAGUAUAACUUGUUCCACCUGUGCACCCAUGACCAGACUGAUCUAGGCAGGAGGCUGGCAAAAAUGGUGGGGCUCGAGGACUGGUGGAGCAGACUGCAUUUCUCGGGCACCGCCGACAUCUCGGAGACAGAUCUCAAGGAUCUGCUCUGCAAGUCAUUGCCAGACAUAGACUCCAGGAACUCGAGAGGGGCCCACAUUCUGGAGAACAGGGGAUUAAGUGAGGAUCGUGCAGAAUGGAGUCACUGGAGUGUGAAAAUUGACCUUGAUCGGAGCAUCCUUAUUUGGCACAUUGCUACUGACAUCUACUUGUGUAAAUCCAAGGUAAAGCAUGGGGAAAAGCUAGCUGAGGCGGUCAAGGUGCUAUCCAAUUACAUGAUGUUCCUUCUGGUGGCGAACCCCGCCAUGCUGCCUGGCCUUAUUCGCCAUGCCCUGUAUUCCCAGACCCGCAAGAAUUUGCACAUGAAAUGGCGUACAAAUUCGUUUGACGUGUUACCUUGGAACUUACGGCCGCCAAAUGCUGUGUCACCCAAAAAGAGUUGGCGCUGCAUGCUCAAGGAAUUGUUCCACCAUGAGGGCCCCAAUGACUCCUGCAGGAUCAUACAACAGCAGGAACUUGCUCGGUCUAUACUCAAGGGAGAGUUCUCCCAAGUUGGUGGAAAAACAGAGGCUGCUGGUUCUCGUGAAUUUGCUAUUGACUACGCAGUUCACCUUGCUGCGGAGCUUGUCGUCUUGGAGUCGAGCAAGCCUGACUUGCUAGAAGUUAUAUUUGGGGUGUGGGUGGAAAUGUUGUGCUAUUCUGCACAGAACUGCAAACUGGAUUCCCAUGCCAGGCAGCUCGGCAAUGGCGGCGAAUUUAUCACGGUCAUGUGGCUUCUAAUAUAUCAUGUUGGCAAGUCGGAGGAUGAACACAGCUCAAGCCUUGAUGUCCCAACACCAGCAGGGAGCAGGCCAACACGUAGCUUGCCUUGA